This 253-nucleotide ribosomal RNA is filed under the name uncultured bacterium. RNAcentral describes it as "partial 16S ribosomal RNA". It matches the Rfam family "Bacterial small subunit ribosomal RNA", at positions 524 to 776 of the family's 1533-position model. The record is from RNAcentral.
UACAGAGGGGGCAAGCGUUGUUCGGAAUUACUGGGCGUAAAGGGCGCGUAGGCGGUUUCGCAUGUCCGAUGUGAAAGCCCACCUCUUAAAGGUGGAAUUGCAUCGGAAACUGCGAGACUAGAGUGCCGGAGAGGGUGGUGGAAUUCCUGGUGUAGAGGUGAAAUUCGUAGAUAUCAGGAGGAACACCGGUGGCGAAGGCGGCCACCUGGACGGUUACUGACGCUGAGGCGCGAAAGCGUGGGGAGCAAACAGG